Molecule: ribosomal RNA, 251 nt
Filed under: uncultured prokaryote
Description: partial 16S rRNA
Rfam family: Bacterial small subunit ribosomal RNA
Source: RNAcentral
ACGUAGGGUGCGAGCGUUAAUCGGAAUUACUGGGCGUAAAGCGUGCGCAGGCGGUUGUGUAAGUCAGAUGUGAAAUCCCCGGGCUCAACCUGGGAACUGCAUUUGAGACUGCACGGCUAGAGUGGAGCAGAGGGGGGUAGAAUUCCACGUGGAGCAGUGAAAUGCGUAGAGAUGUGGAGGAAGAACGAUGGCGAAGGCAGCAACCUGGGUUACUACUGACGCUCAUGCACGAAAGCGUGGGGAGCAAACAG